GCGCGAUACAGGGUGACAGCCCCGUACACAAAAAUGCACAUGCUGUGAGCUCGAUGAGUAGGGCGGGACACGUGGUAUCCUGUCUGAAUAUGGGGGGACCAUCCUCCAAGGCUAAAUACUCCUGACUGACCGAUAGUGAACCAGUACCGUGAGGGAAAGGCGAAAAGAACCCCGGCGAGGGGAGUGAAAAAGAACCUGAAACCGUGUACGUACAAGCAGUGGGAGCACAGAGCAAUCUGUGUGACUGCGUACCUUUUGUAUAAUGGGUCAGCGACUUAUAUUCUGUAGCAAGGUUAACCGAAUAGGGGAGCCGAAGGGAAACCGAGUCUUAACUGGGCGUUAAGUUGCAGGGUAUAGACCCGAAACCCGGUGAUCUAGCCAUGGGCAGGUUGAAGGUUGGGUAACACUAACUGGAGGACCGAACCGACUAAUGUUGAAAAAUUAGCGGAUGACUUGUGGCUGGGGGUGAAAGGCCAAUCAAACCGGGAGAUAGCUGGUUCUCCCCGAAAGCUAUUUAGGUAGCGCCUCGUGAAUUCAUCUCCGGGGGUAGAGCACUGUUUCGGCAAGGGGGUCAUCCCGACUUACCAACCCGAUGCAAACUGCGAAUACCGGAGAAUGUUAUCACGGGAGACACACGGCGGGUGCUAACGUCCGUCGUGAAGAGGGAAACAACCCAGACCGCCAGCUAAGGUCCCAAAGUCAUGGUUAAGUGGGAAACGAUGUGGGAAGGCCCAGACAGCCAGGAUGUUGGCUUAGAAGCAGCCAUCAUUUAAAGAAAGCGUAAUAGCUCACUGGUCGAGUCGGCCUGCGCGGAAGAUGUAACGGGGCUAAACCAUGCACCGAAGCUGCGGCAGCGACACUGUGUGUUGUUGGGUAGGGGAGCGU
Molecule: ribosomal RNA, 885 nt
Filed under: Escherichia coli
Lineage: Bacteria; Pseudomonadati; Pseudomonadota; Gammaproteobacteria; Enterobacterales; Enterobacteriaceae
Description: partial 23S ribosomal RNA
Rfam family: Bacterial large subunit ribosomal RNA
Source: RNAcentral